This 546-nucleotide ribosomal RNA is filed under the name Gloeandromyces streblae f. sigmomorphus. RNAcentral describes it as "SSU rRNA". It matches the Rfam family "Eukaryotic small subunit ribosomal RNA", at positions 372 to 921 of the family's 1831-position model. The record is from RNAcentral. Lineage: Eukaryota; Fungi; Ascomycota; Laboulbeniomycetes; Laboulbeniales; Laboulbeniaceae.
AGGGUUCGACUCCGGAGAGGGAGCCUGAGAAACGGCUACCACAUCCAAGGAAGGCAGCAGGCGCGCAAAUUACCCAAUCCCAACAUGGGGAGGUAGUGACAAGAAAUACUGAUAUAGGGUCCUAUAGGAUCUUGUAAUUGGAAUGAGUACAAUUUAAACCCAUUAACGAGGAACAACUAGAGGGCAAGUCUGGUGCCAGCAGCCGCGGUAAUUCCAGCUCUAGUAGCAUACAUUAAAAUUGUUGCAGUUAAAACGCCCGUAGUUGAAGUUUAGGUCCUUAUCAUCUGGUCUGCCUCACCGCUAGUACUGGUAUGAUUGGGCCUUUUUUCUUGGUAAACUGUUAUGCCCUUUAUUGGGUGUGGCAGUGAACUAGGACUUUUACUUUGAAAAAAUUAGAGUGUUUAAAGCAGGCUUUUGCUCGAAUACCUUAGCAUGGAAUAAUGGAAUAUGACGAGUGGUUGUUUUUCAUUGGUUUUCACGACUACCGUAAUGAUUGAUAGGGAUGGUCGGGGGCAUCGGUAUUCGAUCNUCAGAGGUGAAAUUCUU